Molecule: ribosomal RNA, 519 nt
Filed under: Salmonella enterica
Lineage: Bacteria; Pseudomonadati; Pseudomonadota; Gammaproteobacteria; Enterobacterales; Enterobacteriaceae
Description: partial 23S ribosomal RNA
Rfam family: Bacterial large subunit ribosomal RNA
Source: RNAcentral
AGACCCGAAACCCGGUGAUCUAGCCAUGGGCAGGUUGAAGGUUGGGUAACACUAACUGGAGGACCGAACCGACUAAUGUUGAAAAAUUAGCGGAUGACCUGUGGCUGGGGGUGAAAGGCCAAUCAAACCGGGAGAUAGCUGGUUCUCCCCGAAAGCUAUUUAGGUAGCGCCUCGUGAAUUCAUCUCCGGGGGUAGAGCACUGUUUCGGCUAGGGGGCCAUCCCGGCUUACCAACCCGAUGCAAACUGCGAAUACCGGAGAAUGUUAUCACGGGAGACACACGGCGGGUGCUAACGUCCGUCGUGAAGAGGGAAACAACCCAGACCGCCAGCUAAGGUCCCAAAGUCAUGGUUAAGUGGGAAACGAUGUGGGAAGGCCCAGACAGCCAGGAUGUUGGCUUAGAAGCAGCCAUCAUUUAAAGAAAGCGUAAUAGCUCACUGGUCGAGUCGGCCUGCGCGGAAGAUGUAACGGGGCUAAACCAUGCACCGAAGCUGCGGCAGCGACGCUUAUGCGUUGUUGG